Molecule: long non-coding RNA, 703 nt
Organism: Hippocampus zosterae (dwarf seahorse)
Lineage: Eukaryota; Metazoa; Chordata; Actinopteri; Syngnathiformes; Syngnathidae
Exons: 2
Source: RefSeq, a predicted model, not a curated record
UUUUAUUGCCGUGCGUUUUACUGUCAUUGUGAAUGAUUUUAACUUUAUUCACUCACGUCCUGGAGAACGCGGCACGAGCUUGAAAGCUGCACCCGCUCGACAUGUCCAAAGAAACGUGUUCGCAUCGCCGUUUUCAUUCAUCAGAUUAGAAACGAAGAUGUAUCAUCGCAUCGAAACGUAGAAGAACUGUAACGACUGGAGCGGAGCGAGUGAAAUGCAUCCGUUUGAGCGAGGCUGGACACAAAGUUAAAAAGAUCCAGCAGACGCAAAUCUACGAAACUUUAAAAAACAAGGCAUCGAUUCAACUCCUGAUGACAAGCCACCAUCCAGCAAGGAAGCAAUGCAAAUGGCAACAAAAAUCCUUCAGUAUGCACAUGAAUUACCAGACAACAGUGAUCAACGGGACAGUUACUUGCAACUAGCAAGAAAACUGUAUGACACGCAGGCAAACAUUGUCAUAAACCAAAGAAUGCAUCCAACAAAACAAUCCAAAAUACAGUACACAUUUUUUCCCAAGACAGAAAAAAUAAACAUUAAAAUACUGUAUGUAUUUUACUGUUGUGUUUUUUUGGGGAUACACCUGGAUUGCAGUUUUGGUUAUAUAAACAGUUUUUGGACAGUAUAGUUUUGUAUUUUAUUGAUUGUGUUGUUACACGUGCAUUUUGUCAACAUACUUGCAGGUUCAUAAAGGACAUGUACCAUG